GAGAAUUUGCAUUGUAUACACAAACAAUAUAGACUAAUUAGCAAUCUACCAUUUGACACUAUUAUGUACUGUGCUUAAAAAUUAAUGACUCUAAUACCCCUAUUUCCUAUGAUUUUCCACAACCAUCAUCUUUUUCGUCAUCUCUGGAUCUCUGCCAAGGAACCCACCGUGUCUCCAUUCCUUUCCCCUUACUUCUUCUCCUUCGCUGCACUCGCCUCCAGAUCUCCCACCUCCACUGCCGAGCGUCUCCACCAAGCGAUCCGCCUCCGCGACGCGCCCAGCUCCGCCACGGCGCCGUCUCCCUCCACCCCGAGCUCCUCUCCCAGUUCUCUUCCAUCUCCGACGCGGAAAUCUCUCUCUCUCCUCCCUCCGCUCCUCCAUCUCCUCUCUUCUCCUCCGCCGUACUCGCCUCCGGAUCCCCCGCCUCCACCGCCAAGUGUCUCCACCGAGAGAUCUACCUAAUUGACUCUUACUUGUAUCUCCCAGCUCUCUUCCCUUUCCGGCAAAUCACCAAGACCAUGCUUUAACAGAUCUCGACGGAAAAUACGAUGAACCAUUGGCAAAGAGAGAGAACCACCCAUUCAAUAAACCCUAAGGGGAAAAUGAAUCGAAGAAUAAAUAAAUUAAAAAAACUGAUUUUGAUGUGGAUCUAAUACGAAAUUUGGAACUUUCAGUUUUGGGUUUUCUACUUUUUGACAAAGAACGAUCGAAUCCAUGUAUCGGAGACAAAGCAAUGGAGAAAGGAAGCGUUUGGUUGUGACAGACGGACGGUGACUCAGAUGAUGGGAGGAGGAUAAUAAAAAUAUGUUUUAGGUGGAGAUGAAUGAGAGUAGGGGUAAAAUCGGUAGAAGGGAUCGAAUAUUGAACAGUAUAGAGGAGUUUCCAAGCGCGUAUGGUAGUUACUUAAUUUAGUGCACUUUCAUGUAUAUUU
Molecule: long non-coding RNA, 931 nt
Filed under: Brassica rapa (field mustard)
Lineage: Eukaryota; Viridiplantae; Streptophyta; Magnoliopsida; Brassicales; Brassicaceae
Description: long non-coding RNA (BRAP_LNC000776)
Source: RNAcentral